GACGAACGCUGGCGGCAUGCCUAACACAUGCAAGUCGAACGGAGAUUAUUUCGGUAAUCUUAGUGGCGAACGGGUGAGUAACGCGUAGGCAACCUGCCCUUUAGUUGGGGACAACAUCCCGAAAGGGGUGCUAAUACCGAAUGUGAUCGCUUUCUCGCAUGAGAGAGCGAUGAAAGAUGGCCUCUAGUUUAUAAGCUAUCGCUAAAGGAUGGGCCUGCGUCUGAUUAGCUAGUUGGUGAGGUAACGGCCCACCAAGGCGACGAUCGGUAGCCGGACUGAGAGGUUGAACGGCCACAUUGGGACUGAGACACGGCCCAG
RNAcentral lists this ribosomal RNA (318 nucleotides) under uncultured bacterium. RNAcentral's name for it is "bacterial SSU rRNA". It matches the Rfam family "Bacterial small subunit ribosomal RNA", at positions 28 to 334 of the family's 1533-position model. The record is from RNAcentral.